CACGUAGGGCGCGAGCGUUGUCCGGAAUUAUUGGGCGUAAAGAGCUCGUAGGCGGCCUGUUGCGUCCGCUGUGAAAGCCCGGGGCUUAACCCCGGGUCUGCAGUGGAUACGGGCAGGCUAGAGGUAGGUAGGGGAGAAUGGAAUUCCCGGUGUAGCGGUGAAAUGCGCAGAUAUCGGGAGGAACACCGGUGGCGAAGGCGGUUCUCUGGGCCUUACCUGACGCUGAGACACGAAAGCGUGGGUAGCAAACAGG
Molecule: ribosomal RNA, 253 nt
Filed under: uncultured bacterium
Lineage: Bacteria
Description: partial 16S ribosomal RNA
Rfam family: Bacterial small subunit ribosomal RNA
Source: RNAcentral